Molecule: long non-coding RNA, 779 nt
Organism: Astatotilapia calliptera (eastern happy)
Lineage: Eukaryota; Metazoa; Chordata; Actinopteri; Cichliformes; Cichlidae
Source: Ensembl
CUCAACAGCAACAUUGUACCCUAUCAGGCAAGACGGUCCUUGUGUCUGCAGGAGCUGGUGGAACUGUGAUUCUGACUCCUGCCAUUCUGGCUUCACUGGGGUUCACUUCAGCUGGAAUAGCAGCAGGCUCCAUCGCUGCCAAACUGAUGUCAUAUUUAGCAAUCGCUAGUGGAGGUGGAGUUGUAGCAGGAGGUCUCGUAGCAACCUUGCAGUCCUGGAGUGCAGCAGGUAUGUCAUGGGCUGCCACUGCAUUAUUUGGCGGUGUUGGUGGAGCAGCGGCUUGGGUGCUCUCAACUGUGUGUAACGUGACUGUGGUUUAUGAAGAUUAACACGUAAAAAAACACAAACUGACCUACAAAUGUUUUCUCCUGUGACAAAUUUUAAUCGCCUGGAUGAAACGUUAUUCUUAUGUGUGAAUGUCGAACACUGAGAUUAAAGCAUAUUUUGAGAAUUAAGUUACAAAAAUGGUUCAUAAAAAUUUCAUUCAGAUUUUAUCCAUCAUUAAAAACAAAAACAAAAAACAACUGAUAUGGUGCCUUUAUUCUCUUCAUUAAUUCAAUGUGAAAAUUAAAAGUCAUGCAAAAAUAAGUGUUUCCUUGCUUUUAUUGUAAACAACUUAAUGUAAAGCACAGUAACAAUACCAUAUGUUUCUAUAGUCCAUAAAUCUAUCACUCUUACAGAGCCACAACUCUGACGGGAGACUAUGUAGGACAGGGGUGUCAAACUCCAGUCCUUGAGGGCCGGUGUCCUGAAACUUUUCCAUGUGUCCCUGAUGCAAC